CUGAGAGAGAAGUGAGGACGUGGGGGGAAAGAGGAGGCGGUAAGGGGACAGCAGACAGGAGGCCUGGAGGGGAUGCCGGAGGCACUUGGUUUGGGGCUGGACGCAGAACGCGGUGAACACUGCGAGCCCUGGAGACAAGGAUGCCUCGUUGUCCAUGCUGUCCAUCUGGGAAGGUGCUGGGAGAUCCUGCCUGGCCUGUAUAUCGGCAACGUCAAAGAUGCCAGAGAUGCAGAGCAACUGAGCAGGAACAAAGUGACGCACGUUCUGUCCGUGCAUGACAGCGCCAGGCCCAUGCUGGAGGGGGUUAAAUACCUGUGCAUUCCAGCAGCGGAUUCACCAUCUCAAAACCUGACAAGACAUUUCAAAGAAAGUAUUAAAUUCAUCCACGAGUGCCGUCUGCGGGGUGAGGGCUGCCUUGUUCACUGCCUGGCGGGCGUCUCCAGGAGCGUGACUCUGGUGGUCGCGUACGUCAUGACGGUCACCGACUUUGGCUGGGAAGACGCCCUGCACAUGGUGCGCGCCGGGAGGUCCUGUGCCAACCCCAACCUGGGCUUCCAGAGGCAGCUGCAGGAGUUUGAGGAGCACCAGGUCCAUCAGUUCCGCCAGUGGCUGAAGGAGGAGUAUGGAGAGAGCCCUUUGCAGGAUGCGGAAGAAGCCAGAAGCAUUCUGGGACUGCCUGGGUGACGCACAGGUAACCCAGGUGUGGGUGCCAGGCCUCGAGGCCCUGCGGUGUCUCCCAGUGCCCACCAGCGAGGACGCGCCACCUGUGCAGCAGGUGUGAGAGAACAGCUUUAGGGAAGCAGGUGCUCUGGCGACGGCCCCAACCCUGUGGCCCCCCACCCUUCGUGGCACCGACAGUCACCGAGGAGUCGGUGCCCUGCGGGUCACAGAUGUUCACCCCGACGCUUUAUAAACCCACAGAGAAGGUGUUGUUUCAUUCACUGGAGGCUCAGAGAGGCCAAGAAACACACUGAAAACUAAAAAUAGAAGCACAGCUUCUGGUCCUGGAACUGCACACCUCUCCAGAAAAGACGUGAGCCGACGUCAGGCGCCCAGAGCACCGCGCUGUAAGCGAGGCUGCUGGCAGCGAGGCCUCCGUGCAGACUCCUGACCGGACCUGAAGUGCCCUGCCAAGUUACAGUAUCCAGGCAUCUCUGUUCUAUUUUACCACUCCUUUCCUUCAGGCUUCGCAGGGAAAAGUCCAGACUCUCUAGAUUUUCUGUCCAACAGCUUCUUCCUGAGAUUAUGAAAAUUUGAUUUCCCCCCCAGAAUGAAAGCAGUCUACAAUGGCAUUCAGAAAAUUACUUUUAUCUGGUCUGUCCGCUAGUGCUUCAUGAAGUGUUUCCAUGUAGGGAGCACCUUCACGUGCUCAGUCCAUUUUCCCCACAAAGUUGUGGAAUCGCCAACAGCCGUGCUCAGCUGCUAAGUAGCAGAACCAAGCCUGGAACUCAAGUCCAGCUCAUAGUCUUUGCUCUACACCACGUUGGAACCGGUGAACAGCGAGCUCUCUGUGGGAGCACAACCACGAUAACCCGCCAAGACAAUUUAGAAACAGAGGUCGAGGCAGCAUCACCACGUGACACCGUCAGGCCCGACGGACUGAUUUAUGAAUUAAUAAAGUGGAAUUGAAUUGCAGAAGAGGCCACAGUUACCUGGUCCGUGAGAGACCAGAUCAUGUCUCCACAUGAUAAAUUUACGCAGGGAAGGGUCUUUCCUCGAGGACUGUGGAUCUCAAAUCGUCUCGAGGUUUGCGGACUUGAGUUGGUUGAGUCUGAGAUCCGCUAAAGAGGUCUAGACGAAGCCAGUGGGAGGCAUCUCGCUUAGAAGGGCGGCAGGCAGAGACGGUGUCUGUCUGGGAGGCACCUGUUGGGUGAGAACCAAGUCAAAGAUGCAGAAAAUGAGCCGGAGGCAGAAGCUGCCCGGGAGAGGUGGCAGGGCUGGCAGCCCAAGAGCCGAGCGGACAGAGGAGGGACGUUGGCCCGGGUUGGGGUGGACUGUCCCGGAGCAGUGCCCUGCGGUCCUGGGCACCUGCCAGGCCGAGCGAGGGGGUGCUGCUAGCUGCGCUGCGCGGGUCGGCACCGGGUCACAUGUUCUCACAGACGCGACUCUGGACCAGUGAGAGCUGCUCCAUGCAACACCAAAUCAUCAGGUGUACCUUAAUAUAUCUUUGAGACCAUAGAGUCGGUCUCCUCUUGUCUGGAAUUGUUUUGCCCCAAAAUAAAAAAUAAAAAAUAAAAAAGCUCUCAAGUCCAUGGAAAAGAAUUGACUUUUUCAAAAGAAAAUUUGAGUAGGAAAGGAAACAAUGGGGCCAUUGAAAAGUAGUCAUAACAACCAUUCUGAAAAGUCGGUGAGUAAAUAUUUUAAUAGAUGAGAUUAAGUACAGUGGUGAAUACAUCUCUUGCUGUCUUAGCUAGAAUAAACCUAAUCGAGCUGUUGAAUCAGUAACCCCACCCUUCCACUUUGGUUUCUAUGAGUUUAAAACUCAAAGCUGAGAAAGCAAGGAACCAUCACGCAAUUUGGAAGCAAAAGACACCUUGGCACUUUGGAAAACAGCCUAACUGGCACCACUUGGGGGGGGUGAGGGUUUUGCCCCAGCCACGUGCACCCGGCUCUGAUCGUGGCACUUGACAGCUGCCAAUGUACGGAAAGAAAACUUUCGAAAUGACUUCUGAAGCUUGUAUUCAUGUAUUUGUCAGAAAGAGGGAGGCAGAAACCUUCGGAUCUUCUCUAGCGCUGGCGGCUGUUCCUCAUUUCCGUGUUUUAGGAGGUGUUUAUGUGUAACGUGUCUGUUGCCUGGACCCUGCUCAGCAAAGCCUUGCUGUAGACUUGUGCCCAUUUCACAGAAUGUGCAGGAGACAACACUGUCUUUUAGUGCCUGUUGUCAUCGCUGAUCAGCAGAAAUCAAAGAGAAUGUUCUACACGACAUUUUCUAGGAAAUGGGUGGGAUUUAAUCGAGCAGACCAGCACGCUUCCUGCCCUCGGCCCAGUGCAGAAGCUGGACCUAAUCAGAACCAUUUAUCACUCAGUUAUCUUUCCUGGGACGCUGGCAGGCGUCACGAGGUGACCCGCCUUCCAGCAGCCUCACCCAUCGGGGCCAGGGUGAGUUCUCCCGUCCUCAGUUUACUGGGCCUUAAACGAGGGCCAGAAUUUCUCAGAAUCUCCGUGUUUUAUAACAUAUCAGGUGUAGAGUCAUUGAAAGAGAAAAGUCUGUUUUGUGCCUGUGGCCUUCGGGGGAGAUUUCCAUUGUGGAAAUGGUCUCUUCGGAGCCCCCACAGCUUGCAGCUAAAGUAGGUGGGGGGUGAGUUUACCACCAACACCUUCCUUUACCCAAACCUUUGCCAGAAUGGGGACUUGGGAUAACGUACCCACUCCUCGCUUUUCUUAGGUCCCCUGGAGCUGAAGGUUCUAGAAAUUUCAAGUGCUGCCUGGCCUAGGGCUGUGUGCGUAUCGGGCCAAGUGGGUAUCCAUCCCUUGACCAGGGGUAGCUCCCCUGCCCCAGACAGGUUACGAACGCCUGGAAGUGACCAGGCCUCCAGGUAAGAGAGACUGUUCCACGCCUCCGAGAAGACACGUGCUGUCCCAUUUACAAUAAAAGAGGCCCCAGAAUCUCUUUGAAUAGACGUUUAUUUUAACUGUGGCGGAGGUCAGAGUCGGCCGUGGGGGAUUCUGGGGGGUUUCAAGCCUUUUUCCCCUUUGCACUUCACGUCACACUAGGCAUGCUCCAUCAUGAAUUAUUUCACAUGCUAACAGAGGACGUAGAAGGUCUCACGGGGCAGACCCCGCUGAUCGCCUGUCUUCUUCCUGGCCAGGUUGGACAUGGGUGGCCAUGCGUACACACUGUUUUCCAUAGAAGGACACACACCAGCACUGACUACACAGCCCGCUGAGCUGCAUCAGGUGCUAACAGAUGGUGCAGCUGUUCGACGGGCAAAAACACCUCGGGCUUGCUCUAACGGUCAUCGGGUCAGCAGAACGUGGGGGUCUGACCUCUGCUUGGGGGGCCGUGCCUGGAGUCACAGGACGUUGCUGGGAUCAGCUGGACCCCUGUUUUGACCCCUCCUUCUGCAAUAUGUUUACCCUCCUACUGUUUUUUUCAUGUUUUUUUUUAAAAAUCAGCUUUAUUGAGGUCAAAUUUGUAUACUAUAAAAUUCACCCGUCUAAGCGUCCAAUUCAGUGAGGUUAAGAACACCGACCGAGUGCUGCAGCUGUCACCGUACACCAGAUGCAGGACUCGUCGCCCCCCAGCACCCCUCAUGCCCACCGACACCCACGGCCUGGUUGUUCUCGCUGGACUUGAGCUUCUGCGCGGGGCCCGCCUGUAGGACGUCCGAAGGUGUCGCAGUUGUCACACGGGGCGGGAGCUGCUCCUGGCGCCCGGCGGAGAGGCCAGCGGUGCUGCU
Hippopotamus amphibius kiboko is the source of this 4400-nucleotide RNA transcript. It is a transcript of the gene named dual specificity phosphatase 22, with no coding region annotated. The transcript has 10 exons. NCBI's taxonomy places the organism in Eukaryota, Metazoa, Chordata, Mammalia, Artiodactyla, Hippopotamidae. The record is from RefSeq and is a predicted model, not a curated record.